RNAcentral lists this ribosomal RNA (253 nucleotides) under uncultured bacterium. RNAcentral describes it as "partial 16S ribosomal RNA". It matches the Rfam family "Bacterial small subunit ribosomal RNA", at positions 524 to 776 of the family's 1533-position model. The record is from RNAcentral.
UACAGAGGUCUCAAGCGUUGUUCGGAUUCAUUGGGCGUAAAGGGUGCGUAGGUGGUGCUGUAAGUCAGGUGUGAAAUCUCGGGGCUCAACCCCGAAACUGCACUUGAUACUGCAGUGCUCGAGGACUGGAGAGGAGAUUGGAAUUCAUGGUGUAGCAGUGAAAUGCGUAGAUAUCAUGAGGAAGACCAGUGGCGAAGGCGAGUCCCUGGACAACUCCUGACACUGAGGCACGAAAGCUAGGGGAGCGAACGGG